GGACGACCGAAUCGCGGCGACCAUAACCAAAAUUGACCGAGUCGAGAAAGUGGACACCCAGGCACGGUUCUUACGGUUUCGACAACGGAGACCAACGGCCCGAAUAGUGGAUGACUGUGACCCACUUGUGCCGCCAUUACGGUUCCGGUGUCACGGUGAACUUGCGCAACGUGACCCGACCUCCGAGUCGACGAAGAUCGAUCGCCGAUCGGCCGGACGAGCACCGUCAUCCGAAAUCGUUAGGCUCGGAAGGAUGACGCGAGCCGCCUAGCGGACGACUCCACGCCGAGUGGUUCUUGGCGUAGCGGAAGGUGGAGGGGAGGUCAAAGGAGAAAAAGACGGGAAGAACGACGGUAAUGUAGCCCUCCGGGACGGGAGCCGAAGAGGAAGGCCCCCGACCUCGUCACGGUCAACCUUGCGCGAAGAAAAGGCAGCCAUAACGACCGAGCGAGGAAAGUUCCCAGGAAAUUGCGGAGUGAGGUCUGCGCCGAUUUCCAAAAAAGUCCUUGCCUCUGACGUCGAUGCUCCGUCAAAGGCGACUCGGCGAGGGACAAUAGGAGCCGGAAUGGCGGCGGUUUAAUGCCGUCGUCGACUGCAAGAAGGACGCUGCCGCGUCCUUACGCUACGAAGUGACCCGCCCCGACGCUCCCGAAUAACUUCCGGAUUUGAGACAUUUCGAGGAUGUGCAAGAGAUUUUCGCAAGGUCUACCGGAAGUCGAUCUACGCGGCUCCAUCGGUAAGCAACUUCCGGUUGCGUCGUCGAGUUAUGCGAAUGGAUGCAGUGACGUCAAUGACUCGCACUCGACGUCGGGGACGAUGAAUCAUCGAACCGGUCAGCCAUCGACUGUCGACCGUGUCGAAAUUGAUUUCCUGCGCUUGUGAAAAUAUGAUCGAGCGUUCGAUUCUCCGGGAAAACCCGCGGAGGGCGAGAAAAGGUUGAAUCGAUCGUUCCAGGGUGAUCCCGGCGGAGCGCGAGGUCGGCCAUCGGUUUGCGGAAUCGGGAUAUUAAUUUCCCGUGGAUCGCGUUUAACGGCGACCCUAUCCAGGUGUCGUUUACGGCACGGAGGAACGACAAUCGCGGCCCGAGAUUGGCCAACCGCAAACACAACGGAGGAGCGGAGGUCGCAAUUGGGCAAGAGGAUGAGCGACCCGACUUCCUGCGGGCCUAUCGAUGCCGAUAAAGCCAGCCGGCAACCGGCAACCGGCGACGAUGAGGCAAUGCAUAACGGAAUACACGCCGAAGCGUUAGGCAACCCGCCGCGAGAGGAUUCAUUCCGACUCCGUUCCGUCUGGUUAUCCUCGAUACGAGAACCAGCCGAGUCGAUACCCUCCACCGAACGAUCCUACCUGUCGAUCCCUGGCCUCGAACGCCACGCGGGACAAAUGUCACUCGCUUCCGUGAGCCGCGUAUCGAUAAUUAGCACGAGCCGAUCGUCGGGAAAAAAUGUCGAUUCUCGGUCCAGUAACCGCAGCGCCAGGAAUUCCUCCAUCCAGCGAUCGGCAUAGUUUAUUCCCCGCCGUAGAUUGUCAAAACAUCGCAAUGAAACGUGCGUUUUAGUGCAAAGAAAUCUCGUUUAAAUUACAGACUCGUCGGACAG
This 1598-nucleotide long non-coding RNA is filed under the name Orussus abietinus. RNAcentral describes it as "uncharacterized LOC111674303". The record is from RNAcentral. Lineage: Eukaryota; Metazoa; Arthropoda; Insecta; Hymenoptera; Orussidae.